Molecule: long non-coding RNA, 1760 nt
Filed under: Eucalyptus grandis
Lineage: Eukaryota; Viridiplantae; Streptophyta; Magnoliopsida; Myrtales; Myrtaceae
Description: long non-coding RNA (EGRA_LNC002890)
Source: RNAcentral
GAUCAUCUUCUACUUCAAAAUACUUUCUCCCCUUCAGGUUCUUCCUCCUCAGCUUUUCCUCAGGGUCCUGAAAUGGUUAUUCAAUAACCAAUGAGACCACGUCUCAGCGAGUCCUACCCCCUACGACUCGAUUAGUAAACUAAUACACCAUCCGGUUGCCUAAGCACAACAUGAGUCAGAGGACUUACCUUAGCCUCAGUUCCAACCUGCAAUUCAAGGUUAAACACAGAUAUUCAAACAUUUCACGACAUCCGAUCAAGCACUGGUCAAUCGACUAAGUCGAUUACAUGUCAAUCUGACCAUCUCUAGGUCAUUCCCACUCAUACCAUGAUUUCCCAGUGGUGUACUCAUUCACCAAAUCACAUGUGUUUCUCGGGCGUCGUUUUCGCCAAUGACAUACCGAUCACCGACACCGUGCGUUCUUUAAGGCGCCGUUUUCACCAGUGAUAACCUUGAUCACCGAACCACGUGUCCUUUCAAGGGCGCCGUUUUCGCCAAGGUGACAUCGGCUAUAGACAACAUCGUGCGUUCUUUAAGGCGCCGUUUUCACCAGUGAUAUUCCCAUAAUCACCGAACCACGUUUGUCUAUAAGUCAUUUACGUGCGUUCUUUAAGGCGCCGUUUUCGCCAGUGAUACUUCCAAUCACCGAACCACGUAUGUCCAAUAAUAUCGUACCUGAUUGGUCUCACCAUUCUCCCUACUAUAUAGCCCAUCAACGUACUGGCGCUAUAUACUCAUGCUCGGCCAUUACCAAUCAAAUACUCAAUAACAAACAUUUAAGGAUAAAUCCUCAAAUUUCACAAUUAAUUCAAUUCCACACAACGUAGAGCUCAAAUAAAUAAACGGUCUGCACCACGACAAUCGGCACGAAAUUCCGGUCACCGGCCAUCCCGGUUGAAUUUCCGGAAAAAUAAUUAAUUAAAUAAAUAAAUUUCGAAAAUAAAUAAAUAAACAUUGAAAAUCCAAUUUAGGCCUAUAUUGCCUUAUUGGAGCCCGAAACGGGUCGGGAAAAAUCCCGAGAUGCAUUCAAUAAAUAACCAAACAUUUCUACUUGCUAAUAGCUAGGUCUAACCACCUAACAUGCAUCAUUAAGUCACUAAACUAAUUGUUCUAACCUAAUCUAACCACCUAUGUGCAUGUAAUUAAAUCUAACCAACCUUAAGCAUAAUUAGCAAACUAAUAAAGCAUUAGUGAGUAAAACUCACUUGAUCAAAAGCGGGGAUCGAAUCACCGCAACGGCGACGCGACAACGGCCGAAAUCCGAACUUUCGGCGGCGUCAACGGACACUCAGGCCGGGCCCAAAGAUCUUGCCUCGCGGGCUUGGGCUUCAAAAGAACUUGCUGUACUUCACUGGACUGGGCUUGAAUCAAGACUGAACAUGGGCUUCAAAUGGACUGAAGCUUGCUGUGAAUGGGCUUGAACCAGAAAAGAAUCUGCUGAAUUUCUGGACUGAACUAACUGCGCUAGCUGAACUGGGCUUGCUGGUCUUGUGCUGAAUUCGGUGGCCCAAAGGACUGAAGCUCACGGGCUGGGCUUGCUGCAGGGCUUGUCUUCAGCUAGUUUGUUGGACUGAAGAUCACAUGGGCUGCUGAGCUGGGCCUGAGCUUGUACGAAGGAAAACGGAGGAGGAUCUAUGGGCUUGGUCUUCUCGGGGUUGCUGGAGUUGACCGGUCUAGCGGAAUACUCGAAGAAGCAGCUCGUUGCUGUUGCUAGGCGGAACACGAAAUCAACGCUGGUGGAGGGCGCUGGUUCGUUGAUC